Molecule: long non-coding RNA, 639 nt
Organism: Magnolia sinica
Lineage: Eukaryota; Viridiplantae; Streptophyta; Magnoliopsida; Magnoliales; Magnoliaceae
Exons: 3
Source: RefSeq, a predicted model, not a curated record
AUGAUGUAAAGGGGUUUAGGGAGGCUUAUCAAGACGAUUUCUCUGAUUCAUUCCAUAGAAUUUUCUCUCAGAUCUUUGAACAUGAGAAUGUAACCUCUGCAACUGAUAUAUAGGUGGAACUAUCACUCUCUUUUUCUGAAGCUGCAAAAGGAUGCACAAAACAUCUCUCUUUUGAUGCACAUGUUCCCUACGAUUCUUGUUGAGAGUAAAACUGAACUCCUUUAACUUAGUACGAUUGUGUUUUGACUUUUAUGAGCAGAAGCAGAUCUACUGUAAACAACACCUGCUAAGAUGUUACAUUGGCCACUCCAAGGUCUGAAUGUUUGUAUGAUAAUGUUAAGCAAGCACACAAGCAACACACUGGGAAUAUGUAUUCCGGGAUCAUAUCGACGUCGAUGUUUUUUUGGAAGAGACCAUUGAAUUUGAUUCCCUUUAUUGACUCACCAUUGUUCAUUGCUAGAUUUAUUCCAGUAAUUAAGUAAAGAUCACUAGUUCACCAUUAGGUUGCCUAUUGUGUUUGUGUCUACUUUGUUGAUCCUUAUCAGCAUCAUUCUCAUGGCUAGUUUCAUGGCAUACUAGUAAGGUUUUAUCUCUUCAUUUGGAUAAUCAGUUCCAGCAAAUACAAUUGAUCUUAACCUA